This 498-nucleotide ribosomal RNA is filed under the name Ablabera sp. DA4036. RNAcentral's name for it is "partial 16S large subunit ribosomal RNA". It matches the Rfam family "Bacterial large subunit ribosomal RNA", at positions 1846 to 2600 of the family's 2925-position model. Lineage: Eukaryota; Metazoa; Arthropoda; Insecta; Coleoptera; Scarabaeidae. The record is from RNAcentral.
UUUAAGGUUUAACCUGCCCUAUGAGGAAUUAAAUGGCCGCGGUAUUUUGACCGUGCAAAGGUAGCAUAAUAAUUAGUUUUUUAAUUGGAAGCUAGAAUGAAUGGUUGGACGAGAAGAUUUCUGUCUCAAUUUAAUUUAUUAUGAAUUUUAUUUUUGAGUAAAAAAGCUCAAAUUUUUUUAAAAGACGAGAAGACCCUAUAGAGUUUUAUAAUUUUUGUAUUAAGAAUUUUUUAGGUUUUUUUAGUUUUUAUUAUAGGAUUUAUUUUGUUGGGGUGAUGGAAAAAUUUGAUUAACUUUUUUUUUACUUUUAUCAUUGAUUUAUGUUUAUUUGAUCCAAUUUUUUUUUGAUUAUAAGAUUAAAUUACCUUAGGGAUAACAGCGUAAUUUUUUUUUAGAGUUCUUAUCGAAAGAAAAGUUUGCGACCUCGAUGUUGGAUUAAAAUUAAUGCUUGGUGCAGGAGCUAGGUGGUUGGGUCUGUUCGACCUUUAAAAUUUUACA